ACCUCCUUGUAUAAGGACUGUGCUAAAAUUGCAGCAACUAGGGCCGUUUCUUAGUUUUUGUAAUAAUGCUAGCAGAGUACACACAAGAAGGGGAACUGCACCAGAUUGUAAAGACUGGGGUGGACCUCUUUCUUGAAGUCCAGUGUCCUUUGUCUUAAGAUUUGGUGCAGUGUGU
RNAcentral lists this small nucleolar RNA (175 nucleotides) under Dasypus novemcinctus (nine-banded armadillo). Its description in RNAcentral is "Small nucleolar RNA SNORA81 (ENSDNOG00000027885.1)". It matches the Rfam family "Small nucleolar RNA SNORA81". The record is from RNAcentral. Lineage: Eukaryota; Metazoa; Chordata; Mammalia; Cingulata; Dasypodidae.